UUCGCAUUGGUUCGUCAUUCUUUUUGUUAUGUAAUUUGGGUGAUUAAUUGCCGUGAAUUUGAGUUAAAUUUGAAUCUUUCUGCCAGUUAUAGGAUAGACGGAAGGAUGCAGAGCAAUUCUUUGGUUCUGUGAAUGAUUUUAGUGCAUUUCUUGUUGAGGUAUCGUUGAUUUGCGGAUUGAGUUGUUUGGUAGAGCUAUCUUUUAUGGGGGUUCUGUGAAUGAUGUUAACUCAUUGUUAUGAUCAUGAUUUUGUAAGAAUUGUCUGAGCCGAAAAGCAUGGAAUUGGAAAUUGACUUUGAUGUGGAAGCAUACGAGUAAAUGGAGCCUCGAACAGAAGAACUUAAGCUGGGAAUUGGUAGCAUCCUUAACAUGUGGUUUGAAUGGAUUUGUGCUCUAUAUAAAAAUAUUGUUGAGUAGUGCUCUAUGUAGAAAUUGGUUGCCCUCAAGUUGACACUUGAUGAGGAUAAAAGAAAUGACAGCCAAACUGGAGUUAUCUGGAUGAUGAGAAGUCUAUGGUUUCAUGAUAUAGCUUUCUGGAUGAUGAGAAGUCUAUGGUUUCAUGAUAUAGCUUUAUCAAGCACCUUUCUUCAUCAUAGCUUGAUCCAGUGUGAGGCAUGUGAAAUUAGUGAUCAGUUGUCUUUUCAUUUAAUUCUUUAAAGGUGCUUGGAAAAAUCUCUCUUUUCUUGACCUUUGUGCAUUGCCUACUAAAUACCGAGAGAGGAUCUCAGAUUUGAGAACGAAUCUCAUUUAUCACUAUGUUGGGUUAUAAUUGUCUGUUCAUGCAACUUAUCAUGAUGAUGCGUCUUGUUGAAUUGCUUUUGGUGUGCUUCUAGGG
Molecule: long non-coding RNA, 835 nt
Filed under: Eucalyptus grandis
Lineage: Eukaryota; Viridiplantae; Streptophyta; Magnoliopsida; Myrtales; Myrtaceae
Description: long non-coding RNA (EGRA_LNC003593)
Source: RNAcentral